RNAcentral lists this ribosomal RNA (1336 nucleotides) under metagenome. Its description in RNAcentral is "bacterial LSU rRNA". It matches the Rfam family "Bacterial large subunit ribosomal RNA", at positions 1564 to 2912 of the family's 2925-position model. The record is from RNAcentral.
UGAGUACGAGAUGCUACGGCAUCGAAGCAGUCUAUGUCAUACUUCCAAGAAAAGCUUGCACUGUCAUAAACAAAGAAUGCCUGUACCAUAACCGACACAGGUGGGUAGGUAGAGUAUACUAAGGGGCGCGAGAUAACUCUCUCUAAGGAACUCGGCAAAAUGACUCCGUAACUUCGGGAGAAGGAGUGCCUUAUUUAUAAGGUUGCAAUAACAAGAUCCAAGCAACUGUUUACCAAAAACACAGGUCUCCGCGAAGUCGUAAGACGAUGUAUGGGGGCUGACGCCUGCCCAGUGCCAGAAGGUUAAAGAAGUUGGUUAGCACUCGCGAAGCUGAUAACUGAAGCCCUGGUGAACGGCGGCCGUAACGAUAACGGUCCUAAGGUAGCGAAAUUCCUUGUCGGGUAAGUUCCGACCCGCACGAAAGGCGUAAUGAUUUGGAUACUGUCUCGGAGAGGGACUCGGUGAAAUAGACUUGUCUGUGAAGAUGCGGACUACCUGCACCUGGACAGAAAGACCCUAUGAAGCUUUACUGUAGCUUGGUAUUGGGUUCUGAUGCUGUGUGUAUAGGAUAGUUGGGAGACUAUGAUUGUAGGCCGCCAGGUUUACAUGAGUCGUUGGUGGAAUACCAACCACGCAGUAUUGGGAUUCUAAUCUGAGGUUUGUAACCUUGGAGACAGUGCUAGGUGGGCAGUUUGACUGGGGCGGUCGCCUCCGAAAGAGUAACGGAGGCGUUCAAAGGUGCCCUCAGGUUGGAUGGAAAUCAACCGAAGAGUGCAAAGGCAUAAGGGAGCUUGACUGCAAGACUGACAGGUCGAGCAGGUGCGAAAGCAGGACUUAGUGAUCCGGCGAUACCGAAUGGAAGGGUCGUCGCUCAACGGAUAAAAGCUACUCUGGGGAUAACAGGCUGAUUUUGCCCGAGAGUCCAUAUCGACGGCAAAGUUUGGCACCUCGAUGUCGGCUCAUCGCAUCCUGGGGCUGGAGAAGGUCCCAAGGGUUGGGCUGUUCGCCCAUUAAAGCGGUACGUGAGCUGGGUUCAGAACGUCGUGAGACAGUUCGGUCCCUAUCCGCUGCAGGCGCUAGAGUAUUGAGAAGAUCUGCCCUUAGUACGGGAGGACCGGGGUGGACAAACCUCUGAUGUACCAGUUGUCACGCCAGUGGCAUAGCUGGGUAGUCACGUUUGGAAUGGAUAACCGCUGAAAGCAUCUAAGUGGGAAACCAACUUCAAGAUAAGUACUCUGCAACCUUGAGUUGAUAAGUCACCUUCGAGAACAGGAGGUUGAUAGGCUGGGGGUGUAAGGAAUGUAAGUUCUUUAGCUGACCAGUACUAAUUAGACGA